ACUUAGCGAAUCGCAUUAGCCUUUGUGCUGGCGAUGGUACAUUCAAAUUUCUGCCCUAUCAAUUUGAUGGUAGGAUAGAGGCCUACCAUGGUUUUUACGGGUGACGGAGAAUUAGGGUUCGAUUCCGGAGAGGGAGCCUGAGAGAUGGCUACCACUUCUAAGGAAGGCAGCAGGCGCGCAAAUUACCCAAUCCUGAUACAGGGAGGUAGUGACAAGAAAUAACAAUACAGGUCCCAAUACGGGCCUUGUAAUUGGAAUGAGUACAAUUUAAACCCCUUAAUGAGUAACAAUUGGAGGGCAAGUCUGGUGCCAGCAGCCGCGGUAAUUCCAGCUCCAAUAGCAUAUAUUAAAAUUUGUUGCAGUUAAAAAAGCUCGUAGUUGGAUCUCGGAACAGGGAAUAACUGGUCUGCCGGUUGGUAUGUACUGUUGUUCCCGUUCUCUACUGAUGGAAACUUAUCUCUACUCUUAAAUGAGCGGAGAGUAGAUCAGUAGAAUGAAUGUGUUUUCGAACUCAUUCAUUCAAUUU
Molecule: ribosomal RNA, 526 nt
Filed under: uncultured eukaryote
Lineage: Eukaryota
Description: bacterial SSU rRNA
Rfam family: Eukaryotic small subunit ribosomal RNA
Source: RNAcentral